Molecule: long non-coding RNA, 621 nt
Filed under: Anas platyrhynchos platyrhynchos (common mallard)
Lineage: Eukaryota; Metazoa; Chordata; Aves; Anseriformes; Anatidae
Description: lncRNA (ENSAPLG00000016562.1)
Source: RNAcentral
CUUUAAUGAAAAACAAAAUUCCAAAUGUAAGAGUCACCAGUAUUUCCAUGAGAUUCUCUCUCUGUUGAAAAAAAAAUCUAAGGAAGAGAGUCUCCUGCAUUCCUGAAGGAUUACGUGUGGUCUUCCUAAUUCAAGAAAGAUGAAAGAGUGGCAGCUGAAUGUCUGAAAAGGGCAGAAUGGAUUUUUGUCAGAGGCAACACAUCCUAUUCUUUAUAUGGCCAUUUAUUUUGUAGUGAUAUUUCAUCUUAUUGUAGGUUCUUCAUUAAUGGAAAUGUUGAUUCAGGUUUUAUCUCCACAACGUUUUCAGGACCGUAAGAUCUGGUGUACAAUGGCCACAAGGGGACUCCUGGGCAAAAGAUCUCACUUGUGUACAUUUUACCACCUGAACUCCAUGGCCAAAUGACAGGGGAUAUUCUAGCAGACUAUGGGAAGAUAAAUCACCCCAUUUGUGUACCUUGAAGAUAAUAUCUUCAUGAUGUCCACAUGUCCACAACAGGAGGGUGAAAUCAGAUCAGGAGCAAAAGAUCAAUUAUAGAAAGGUGAGUGUGGAGGACAGUAAUGAGAGAGAGCAUGUGGAGACACUGAUAGAACGGUAAAAUAAAGGGGAGACUGAAUUUAGCA